CCCCCUUUCUGUAGUGCUUCAACAAUUCCCUUUCUUAUUGCACCUGAUACACUCCAGACUUCCAUGCUGGAUUUGCUCUGGUUGCUGGUUAGUGCCUCAGGUGGUGAGACCUUGCGAACCAAGCUGUUCCUGAGUCUUCUUCUAAAUGGUACAGGCUUUUUUGGCAGAAACAAAGGCUUCUACAAGUCUCUAAAACAGACUUGAAUAUAUACCUAGAAACCUGGAAAAAUAAGCCUACUUUGCCUGAACAAAUACUUCUGCGGCUGUAGGUG
Molecule: long non-coding RNA, 272 nt
Filed under: Numida meleagris (helmeted guineafowl)
Lineage: Eukaryota; Metazoa; Chordata; Aves; Galliformes; Numididae
Description: lncRNA (ENSNMEG00000020467.1)
Source: RNAcentral